AAAGGUGUAACUCAGUGGUAGAGUGCAUGCCUAGCAUGCAGGAGGUCCUGGGUUCAAUCCCCAGUGCCUCCA
This 72-nucleotide transfer RNA is filed under the name Camelus bactrianus (Bactrian camel). It matches the Rfam family "tRNA". From Rfam's summary of the family: Transfer RNA (tRNA) molecules are approximately 80 nucleotides in length. Lineage: Eukaryota; Metazoa; Chordata; Mammalia; Artiodactyla; Camelidae. The record is from Rfam by way of RNAcentral. RNAcentral also lists the same sequence under 3 other names.